AGUUAAUUAGCUUAAAGAAAGCUUAUAUUUUGAAAAUAUAAGAAAAAGGUUUAAUCCCUUUAUUAACUU
RNAcentral lists this transfer RNA (69 nucleotides) under Triatoma dimidiata (kissing bug). RNAcentral describes it as "tRNA-Ser". It matches the Rfam family "tRNA". From Rfam's summary of the family: Transfer RNA (tRNA) molecules are approximately 80 nucleotides in length. Their secondary structure includes four short double-helical elements and three loops (D, anti-codon, and T loops). Lineage: Eukaryota; Metazoa; Arthropoda; Insecta; Hemiptera; Reduviidae. The record is from RNAcentral.